AAGUCGUAACAAGGUUUCCGUAGGUGAACCUGCGGAAGGAUCAUUAACACGUAUCCAACGUUAACCCCCUGUGAACCUUCAUUGUACGAGUUACAUCCACAUCAUAAACCGGCAAUCUCUGGUAAAUCAUCGCCGAACAGUUUUGAUUCAGAGACCUCUGGGAAGGGUGUACGGUAGUGCGAGGCAAUUAGUGUCACUAGGAUGGCGCAGUAGGAGGCGACACGGCGGCGACCAGGUCACUGGGCUACGGCCCCCCUGAUCACAACCUUUGCAUGAAAACGGGCCUGCGCUGAGGUGCGGCCACCCCUAAUGCUUGAACAACUGUUAACAAUGGAUAUCUUGGUUCUC
RNAcentral lists this unclassified non-coding RNA (348 nucleotides) under fungal sp. RNAcentral's name for it is "partial internal transcribed spacer region". The stretch from base 1 to 46 matches the Rfam family "Eukaryotic small subunit ribosomal RNA", at positions 1786 to 1831 of the family's 1831-position model. Lineage: Eukaryota; Fungi. The record is from RNAcentral.